RNAcentral lists this ribosomal RNA (468 nucleotides) under uncultured bacterium. RNAcentral's name for it is "partial 16S ribosomal RNA". It matches the Rfam family "Bacterial small subunit ribosomal RNA", at positions 28 to 507 of the family's 1533-position model. The record is from RNAcentral.
GACGGACGCUGGCGGUGUGCUUAACACAUGCAAGUCGAACGGUAAGGCCCUUUCGGGGGUACACGAGUGGCGAACGGGGGCGUAACACGUGAGUAACCUGCCCUCAUCUCUGGGAUAACAGUCGGAAACGGUUGCUAAUACUGGAUAUGAGCUUGCAAUGCAUCUUGAGGGUUGGAAAGAUUUUUUUGGGUUGGGUAUGGAUUCGCGGCCGAUCAGCGUUUUAGUGAGGAAGUGGCUCACUAAGGCCUUGGCGGGGAGCCGGCCUGAGGGCGCGCCCGGACACAUUGGGACUGAGAUACGGCCCAAACUCCUACGGGAGGCAGCAGUGGGGAAUAUUGCACAGUGGACGGAAGUCUGAUGCAGCAACGCCGCGUGCGGGAUGACGACCUUCGGGUUGUAAACCGCUUUCAAUUGUGACGAAGCUUUUUUGUGACGGUAGCAGUAGAAGAAGCACCGGCUAACUACGUG